Molecule: ribosomal RNA, 443 nt
Filed under: uncultured bacterium
Lineage: Bacteria
Description: partial 16S ribosomal RNA
Rfam family: Bacterial small subunit ribosomal RNA
Source: RNAcentral
CCUACGGGGGGCAGCAGUGGGGAAUAUUUGGCAAUGGGCGCAAGCCUGACCCAGCAACGCCGCGUGAAGGAAGAAGGCUCUCGGGUUGUAAACCUCUUUUGUCAGGGACGAAGCAAGUGACGGUACCUGACGAAUAAGCAACGGCUAACUACGUGCAAGCAGCCGCGGGAAUACGUAGGUGGCAAGCGGUAUUCGGAGUUACUGGGGGUAAAGGGCGUGUAGGCGGGACUGCAAGUCAGCUGUGAAAACCACGGGCUCAACCUGUGGCCUGCAGUUGAAACUGUAGGUCUUGAGUACUGGAGGGGCAGACGGAAGUCCUGGUGUAGCGGUGAAAUGCGUAGAUAUUAGGAGGAACACCAGUGGCGAAGGCGGUCUGCUGGACAGCAACUGACGCUGAGGCGCGAAAGCGUGGGGAGCAAACAGGAUUAGAUACCCGUGUAGUC